Molecule: transfer RNA, 83 nt
Filed under: Streptomyces sp. MH60
Lineage: Bacteria; Bacillati; Actinomycetota; Actinomycetes; Kitasatosporales; Streptomycetaceae
Description: tRNA-Gly
Source: RNAcentral
CGGGUGCUGGGGGAGCGGGCCGCGCGGCUGCCUGCCGCGGACGUGGUGUCCGCGGUGGCGGCGUUCGGUGAGCUGGUUCCCGA